GACAGAGGGUGCAAACGUUGCUCGGAAUCACUGGGCGUAAGGGGCGUGUAGGCGGGAAGGAAAGUCAGAUGUGAAAUCCCCAGGCUCAACCUGGGAACUGCAUUUGAAACUCCCUUUCUUGAGUACCGGAGAGGAAAGUGGAAUUCCUGGUGUAGAGGUGAAAUUCGUAGAUAUCAGGAGGAACACCAGUGGCGAAGGCGGCUUUCUGGACGGUAACUGACGCUGAGACGCGAAAGCGUGGGGAGCAAACAGG
RNAcentral lists this ribosomal RNA (253 nucleotides) under uncultured bacterium. RNAcentral describes it as "partial 16S ribosomal RNA". It matches the Rfam family "Bacterial small subunit ribosomal RNA", at positions 524 to 776 of the family's 1533-position model. The record is from RNAcentral.